This 502-nucleotide ribosomal RNA is filed under the name Reticulitermes grassei. RNAcentral's name for it is "partial 16S ribosomal RNA". It matches the Rfam family "Bacterial large subunit ribosomal RNA", at positions 1840 to 2592 of the family's 2925-position model. The record is from RNAcentral. Lineage: Eukaryota; Metazoa; Arthropoda; Insecta; Blattodea; Rhinotermitidae.
UUAGUUUUUGAAGUAUGGCCUGCCCACUGACUGGUGUUGAAGGGCCGCGGUAUUUUGACCGUGCAAAGGUAGCAUAAUCAUUAGUUCUUUAAUUGUGAUCUGGUAUGAAUGGCUUGACGAGGCAUGGGCUGUCUUAAUUUUGAAUUGUUUGUUGAAUUUGUUCUUUGAGUUAAAAUUCUUAGAUGUUUUUAUGGGACGAGAAGACCCUAUAGAGUUUAACAUUUAUUAUGGUCCUUUUUCUGUUUGUGAGGGUUCACUGGGCCGUUUAAUAUGUUUUGUUGGGGUGAUGGGAGGGAUUUAUUUAACCCCUCCUUUGUGUUGUUAUAUUUAUUUAUAUUUACUUGAUCUAUUUAUUUUGAUUGUAAGAUUAAAUUACCUUAGGGAUAACAGCGUUAUCCCCCUUGAGAGUUCUUAUCGGCAGGGGGGUUUGCGACCUCGAUGUUGGAUUAAGGUUUAUUUUCGGUGUAGUGGCUGAAAUUAUUAGGUCUGUUCGACCUUUAAA